UACGGAGGGUGCGAGCGUUGUUCGGAAUCACUGGGCGUAAAGCGCGUGUAGGCGGCUCGAUAAGUCUGGUGUGAAAGCCCGGGGCUCACCCCCGGAAGUGCACUGGAUACUGCCGAGCUCGAGUUCCGGAGAGGAAAGUGGAAUUCCUGGUGUAGCGGUGAAAUGCGUAGAUAUCAGGAGGAACACCGGUGGCGAAGGCGGCUUUCUGGACGGUAACUGACGCUGAGACGCGAAAGCGUGGGUAGCAAACAGG
This 253-nucleotide ribosomal RNA is filed under the name uncultured bacterium. Its description in RNAcentral is "partial 16S ribosomal RNA". It matches the Rfam family "Bacterial small subunit ribosomal RNA", at positions 524 to 776 of the family's 1533-position model. The record is from RNAcentral.